RNAcentral lists this ribosomal RNA (572 nucleotides) under Pseudomonas sp. Its description in RNAcentral is "partial 16S ribosomal RNA". It matches the Rfam family "Bacterial small subunit ribosomal RNA", at positions 85 to 654 of the family's 1533-position model. Lineage: Bacteria; Pseudomonadati; Pseudomonadota; Gammaproteobacteria; Pseudomonadales; Pseudomonadaceae. The record is from RNAcentral.
GGGGGGGGGGGGGGAGGGGGGGGGAGAGAGUGCUGAGAAGGGGGGGGUAGGGGGGGAUAACGCUGGGAAACGGACGCUAAUACCGCAUAUGUUCUACGGGAGAAAGCGGGGGACUUUCGGGCUUUGCGCUAUCAUAUGAGCCUAGGUCAGAUUAUCUAUUUGGUGAGGUAGUGGCUCACCAGGGCGACGAUCCGUAAGUGGUCUGAGAAGAUGAUCACUCACACUGGAACUGAGACACGGUCCACACUCCUACGGGAGGCAGCAGUGGGGAAUAUUGGACAGUGGGCGAAAGCCUGAUCCACCCAUGCCGCGUGUGUGAAAAAGGUCUUCAGAUUGUAAAGCACUUUAAGUUGGGAGGAAGGGCAGUUACCUAAUACUUAUCUGUUUUGACGUUACCGACAGAAUAAGCACCGGCUAACUCUGUGCCAGCAGCCGCGGUAAUACAGAGGGUGCAAGCGUUAAUCAGAAUUACUGGGCGUAAAGCGCGCGUAUGUGGUUCGUUAAGUUGGAUGUGAAAUCCCCGGGCUCAACCUGGAAACUGCAUUCAAAACUGACGAGCUAGAGUAUGGUAG